AUCAUUGUGAAAUUUAAUUACUGUCCAUCCCUCUGUAGAGUCCGGAUGCCUUCCCCCAGAUCAUGGAGAAAGCCCAAUGCCUGAUCAUUUGGUUCAGUAUCUGCCUAUCCCAUUCAACCAACACCUCACGAAGAAGCUGGGCACCAGCCACAUAGCAAGGCUGGAGCUCAAUCUUACCAGGAGUGGUGACCAAAUUAGAUGAAAGGAAGUCUAGGAUCAGGAGGCAAAGGUGACAAUGUUUCAAGGAUGUGGGUACUGUCACUGAUGUCAAAUAUUGCCAAAAGCUCUAAAUAAAAGGAACUCUGGAAUGGAGAAGUGGCUGUUGACACCUGAUUUCCCUCUGGCAGAUGACCAGAUAGAAUCAGCAUUAACAACGUGCAGAAAAUGCCAAAUGCAGGAAAAAUGACAAAUGUGCCAGAUGAUUUAAUAUCAAGUAAAGAUAAAGUGCUGAAGAUCGAACACAGUGCUUCACACAUGCCAGGCAAGUGCUCUACGAUUUGGCCACAACUCCAGCCCGUGUUUUCAAUUUUUGUAGAG
Long non-coding RNA from Marmota monax (woodchuck), 537 nucleotides. RefSeq lists it as uncharacterized. The record is from RefSeq and is a predicted model, not a curated record. The transcript has 4 exons. NCBI's taxonomy places the organism in Eukaryota, Metazoa, Chordata, Mammalia, Rodentia, Sciuridae.